Molecule: long non-coding RNA, 631 nt
Organism: Mesocricetus auratus (golden hamster)
Lineage: Eukaryota; Metazoa; Chordata; Mammalia; Rodentia; Cricetidae
Exons: 3
Source: RefSeq, a predicted model, not a curated record
UGUAACUGCCAUAGGGAUAAGAAGCCUGGAAACCUCUCCGAUGCGCUGGUUAAGAAGUGACUGCUGUCAUCAAUCUCUUGAGCACAGUCUGUGACCUGUGACUUCUUCAAUGUGGCACUAUGGCAGGCAUGACACAAUGCAGCAUGACAAUCACCUGCACUGGGUCUUGCUUUCUUGAUCCACUUGUCACCAUGGAAACAAAUGGGAUGUGAGGAAGCUGAAGCUAGUCUGUGAAAGAAUUAGCAGCCACAUGGAGGACAGAGGAGCUCUAGCUCCUAGCCAGAUGUUCAGCACACCUGCUAAGGUGACCACCUGGAGCCACCUUCCUGGUAACCUGGCAACUGCUUACAGACCUCUAGGUGUAAGUUGUGGAAAAGUUCUGUUUCUUGUUUUCAGCGCUUGUGCCUCAGCCUGAGCAAGGUCUUCAGGAAGAACCACAGUAGUGCCGUCUUGAAGACAGGCGCAGGGCAGUCUUCAUGUCCUCUCUCUCCUUCUUAAGCAAUGCCACCAGAAUUCACCGUCACAUUGUCAACUGUCAUAAUUACUGUUUCACAGCAAAAGGGUCAUAUCACUGCUGCACGGCUAGCAAAGCUCCUUGGCUGUCUAUAGGAGUGUGCUGGCUUACCUGAGA